GCGAACGCUGGCGGCAGGCCUAACACAUGCAAGUCGAGCGCCCCGCAAGGGGAGCGGCAGACGGGAGAGUAACACGUGGGAACGUACCCUUCAGUUCGGAACAACCAAGGGAAACUUUGGCUAAUACCGAAUACGUCCGUAAGGAGAAAGAUUUAUCGCUGAAGGAUCGGCCCGCGUCUGAUUAGCUAGUUGGUGGGGUAAUGGCCCACCAAGGCGACGAUCAGUAGCUGGUCUGAGAGGAUGAUCAGCCUCACUGGGACUGAGACACGGCCCAGACUCCUACGGGAGGCAGCAGUGGGGAAUAUUGGACAAUGGGCGCAAGCCUGAUCCAGCCAUGCCGCGUGGAUGAUGAAGGCCCUAGGGUUGUAAAGUCCUUUCGGCGGGGAAGAUAAUGACGGUACCCGCAGAAGAAGCCCCGGCUAACUUCGU
This 429-nucleotide ribosomal RNA is filed under the name uncultured bacterium. RNAcentral's name for it is "bacterial SSU rRNA". It matches the Rfam family "Bacterial small subunit ribosomal RNA", at positions 29 to 506 of the family's 1533-position model. The record is from RNAcentral.